This 497-nucleotide ribosomal RNA is filed under the name uncultured bacterium. Its description in RNAcentral is "partial 16S ribosomal RNA". It matches the Rfam family "Bacterial small subunit ribosomal RNA", at positions 28 to 507 of the family's 1533-position model. The record is from RNAcentral.
GAUGAACGCUGGCGGCGUGCCUAACACAUGCCAGUCGAGCGAACAGAUAAGGAGCUUGCUCCUUUGACGUUAGCGGCGGACGGGUGAGUAACACGUGGGUAACCUACCUAUAAGACUGGGAUAACUUCGGGAAACCGGAGCUAAUACCGGAUAAUAUUUCGAACCGCAUGGUUCGAUAGUGAAAGAUGGUUUUGCUAUCACUUAUAGAUGGACCCGCGCCGUAUUAGCUAGUUGGUAAGGUAACGGCUUACCAAGGCGACGAUACGUAGCCGACCUGAGAGGGGGAUCGGCCACACUAGAAGUGAGACACGGUCCAUACGCCUGCGGGAGGCAGCAGUAGGGAAUGUUCCGCAGUAGGCGAAAGCCUGACGGAGCAACGCGGCGUGAGUGAUGAAGGUCUUCGGAGCGUAAAGCUCUGUUAUUGGGGAAGAACAUACGUGUAAGUAGCUGUACACUUCUUGACGGUACCUAGUCAGGAAGCCACGGCUAACUACGUG